CUUGGCGGCUUUGGAGUGUCUGCUGUUGGGUGCGGGACUCAAGGGUCUGAGGUCGCUCGCUGGGUGGGGUCCAGACGCCCGGCUCCUGGCUGGCAGGGCGGUUCAGGAGCCUCCCGCCUAUGGAGCCCAGCUUCGCAAGGCGUCGCCCCAGGACUUCCGAACCUGGGGAGGUUAGAUACAUCAAAAUUCUUCUCUUUCUGUGAACUAAAGCCCUCAUCUCUGGCUUUUUGGAAAGCAAGUUCUAGAUCUCUUUUUGGUGUUUGACUUUUAUCCCAAGGAUGUGGAGCAGCAGCCAGUCUGGCCAGGAAACAAAUGCUGGAUAUCUACAAGAUGCCAAAUUUGCAAUAAUUAAUUUUGCCACAAAUGUCAUCACUUCAUUUUAGGAGUUUGGAGCCAAAAUAACUGGUGUACAGCUGCAUAAUGAAGAAGAAAGUCUGUAUAGAAAUACUAGAAAGCCAUGACAGAGAGCCAGAGAACAGAUGAAACACAGAAAUCAUAUCUUUUUUUAUAGAGUCAUUCUGAGCAACAUCCAGAAAUGUGUGCUUCUACAUCUGGUGAGUUCCAUCAAAGAGCAAAGAAGAAAAUAAAUGGACAAGUACAUGGACUCACUCUGUUUUGUGAAACUUCCAUGAUUAUGUCUGUUAUUCCUGACAAGAACUGAAAUUACUUUCUCUGGAAUUACCUCUGAUAUUGGCCAACUUCUAUACUGGGUAAUAACCGUGUGACGUGUGAUUUAUUCCUUUUCCUGUUUAGUCCGUCAGUUCCUGGAUUUGAAUGGACCAGUUUUAUAUCACAUUGGUGUCAACAGCUUUAUUUAUUUCUAUGGACAAAUGACUUUGUCGUAAGGGUUAGAGAAGAUAACAAAUCCCAGUGACGAUAUAUUUCUAGAGGUAAGGAUGAAUGGAAACUUAAAAAGUGGGGUCAUCAGCCUGAGGCAGGAAAUGAGAAGAGCAUGGAAAGUUUGGAGACAAAUUUCAAACCAUAGUAAUAUUGACCUUAGAUAUUUAAUUAACAUUAAAUAAAUAACAUGGCAUAGAGAAAAGGGUUAAAUGGGAACAUGUUUCUCUGACAAUAUAGGGAUUGCUAAGGAGAACUGCCAGAGGACAGUGCAGCAGAGAAAGGGAUCAAGAUACAGAGUUUGUACAAUUUCUAUCAUGAAAGUUUUCUAGGAAAGGUAAGAUGCUUGGAUAUCCACAUUCUAAAGAGGGCUGAUGGUCAUACAUGCAAUACAUGCAUAAAUAGCUGGAACAAUCUCAAUGCUAUGGGCAGUUGAACAUGAGGAGCAUGUGCAUGAAUGCAGUUGAAUAAUGAGAAGGCAGAAGUGCACUAGGAAGUUGAUUCAGGCCUGAAUUGGUGUGUGUGGGGGUCUUUUCAGAAAUAUUAGAAAAAUUUCAGUGACUUGUGAUAAUGAAGGUUGACUGAAUGAGAAAGAAAGAAGCUGGGCCCCAGGAAUGUGAGAUUCUGCACCUGACUGUUACUCAAGGUUUCAAAUGAGAUAUGUAAUAAAACAUACCACCUGUGAAUGUUGAUUUCUUCUAUCAUGUACUUUCUCCUAUGGCAAUAUCUUCCUAUAUUGAGGGAACUUCUUUAGGAAAUUUUUGGGCUUUUUUUGAAAUUUGGAUAUAUACAAAACCCACCAGAGAAUCAGAGAGGUCUGUGGGAGAGGUUCAGCAGGAGAGAAACUGCUUAGUAUGCAAAAGGAUCUGGUUCAGUGCCCACCAUUAAGAUGAAAAUAAACAAACAAAACAUGUCACAGAAAUAUAAGCAAACAUUUCAUCAGUAUGUGCAAGUAUAUUCUCAACUCACUACUUAGUUGAAGAGUUAAUUUCCUCAUGCUUUUACAGAAAUAUUUUAGAACUUGGAUGCAAUCAUCAAUACAUAUGUGUUGAGCCAAAUCCUCCCAACACAUUGAGCAAAAAAUAUACAUCAUGAAUGGUGAGUUUGAUAUCAUUUCAAAAUAUUUAAUAUAGGUUUCCCAAAGAAAAUAGUUACCUGAUUUGAGUGUCCAUGAAGUCUUCUUCCAUUUUUCCUUUUUUGGAAGAGAAUCUUUGCUUAUGAUCGUAGGCUUGAUGUGCUUAGAAAUAAGAUAUUAUGUAAAUGUUUUACAUUGUAUCUAGCAUGUAUUUUAAUAAUGUAACAUAAACAAAGAAGUUGAAUUACCUUUCUGGUAAUUCUGAAAUACUAAAAAGGAAAUGAGAAAAAUAUUCAACAAAAUCUGAACAUAACAAAACUACCCACAUAUUCCUACUGAAUGAAUAUAGACCAGAGUCCUGGUGGUUAUCAAUGAUGAAGACUACUUUAGCUUUCGGACUUCUGUAUUUGUAUGUGAUUUAUUGUUGAGUAUGGCCACAAGACUGAAAUGUACUAAAUGUAAAUUGGGUUUUGUAAAAUUUGCAGCUAAGUUUCCUAUGGUAAAAUCAUGUUUCAAUGACCAAAAAUACAGAAACAUUGUUUUAAAUACUAAUGUCAAAGUGCAGAAUGCUGCAGAGCACAUCAUCUGUAUUCACAGGAGCAAGGAAGGAACCUGAGAUGUUCAAAGUCAAAGCUGAAUUAAAAUAUGGCAGUACAUAUCUCAAGUGAAGCCUAUCAAAAAUAUAUAGGUCAUUUUAUUGUAAAUAUGUAUCCUGUUCCUCAUUUUUCUUAUAAUUACUAAGUCCAAAAUUUUUAUAAGAUUCCUGAGAAAGGUGUACUACAUUUCUCAUUAGAGAGAAUUUUCUGAGCUAGCUCAGAUAUGUUAUUAGAAUAACAGCAAAUACAUGUAUGGGUGUUUUAUCAUACCCAUGUGGGAAACUGGUUCAUCUUCUUUUCCAGAAUCCUUUUUUUAAACCAACAUCUUGUUUCUUUUUCCACUCUUUUGCAAGAUACUGGUCUCACAUCCAAUAAAAAAUUAUGAUAAAGCACAGAGAUUACAAUCGGCAGGGAAAGUAUUCUGAAAACUUGCAGAAUUAUUAGAUAUCAAUAAGCUAUUGUAUUUCAGUCAUUAGUAUGUACACUGAAAAUAUGAGUCUUGCUAUUCGAAGAUAAAUUACAAACAACUUAUAGUUUAAAAAUGACUCUGGGAUGGCAUAUCUAGACAGCUUUUUGUAUUUUUCUGAAAGACCUAAUUGAUCAGAAAAUUAGCUAUCUAGCGUUCAGAAAUUAACUCAGUGAUAAGAGUGAAUUUCUGACAUGCUCAGGAACAUCCAACUCAACAACAUAAUGAUAAAACAAUAAUAAUAAGGACAAUAAUAAAUAAAAUGAAAAUAUUUUCUGUCUAAAAAACAACCAAUAUUUCAAAAAUGCUUGCUUGCUUAUCUGAAUGACUCUUAUGGAUGCUGUAUUCAUCAUGGUGCCUAAUAGAUAUGGUGGAAAGAAAUUGGUAGAUGCAUGUUGCACUGAUUCUUCUAGUCCCUACUGGUGCAAAUCAUCUCUGAACUAGGAAUACUAUCAACUUUGGUUUGAAGGAAGACACCCUGAAAACACUAUAUAACAUUCUCUAAGUUUUCUCAUUUUCCUCAGUAAAAUUUUCCUAGUUUUCUCAUUUCCUCUUUGGUCCCUCCCUCCCUUUCUCUUCCCUUUAGCUUUGCCCAAGUAACCUCUAGAGCUGGGAGCUUGAUUUUUUACAUUUUACAUUCUUUGUAUGAGUCACUUUCACCCCCUCUGGCCUGUCAAUAUGGCAAAUUUUUCUUAGAAAUAUGAUGUCUAUGUCUUUAUCUUUUGAACUCUUCACACUUCCCAAGUGACAUGCUCAGAAUGAAAGCAAGAUUUAUGCUGGCACUUGAUCUGCUUGUGUCCUGAAUUGUAGGAACAAAUAUCUGUUCAUUUAUAUUUCCCAAAUGGACAUCCUAUUAGUGGCUCCAAAAUAUGCUAUCUGCAGAUUAAGAUCUUUGGAGUCACCUUAGAAUAUAAUUGACAUGUAGAGGCAAAGACCUGCUGAAUAAGAAUGAACUUUUAAACCUGGUCCACAAGAGAUGAUUCAUUAAAGUUUCAGGCUUCCAUAGUGAACUUUUUUGGCUUCCAAUACCUCUACCUUAACUUGAAUGUAGCUUUGUGUUUCUCCCUAGGAUUUCCCCCUCAAAGUGAAAGUUUAGAAAGAGCAGUAAUCUUUCCAAAGUGAAUUUUAGGUAUCUGUGGAUUUGUGGAUCACUCCACAACCAUUCAUACUUGUUUCUAAUUCCCUUGUUUAUUUUUCUGCCCUGUAUACUUUUUGUAGGUAGUCCCAACAUCUUUUUAUCACUAAAUUUUACACCUUUAUAAUCAUUUGUGGUAAACAAAAUUAGCACUGUGGGGUCACUUCUUCAGCCCUCAAUUUUGUGAGUAAGUCAAGAGGAAUGGGAAAUUUUUACUCUACCUCUAAUUUAAUUUUGGAAAUGGAAACUCACAAAUUCUUCCACACAUUGAAAUCCCUGCUUUUUUUCCUUCUUAUAUAUGAUUUGUUUUUGGUUUUUUGGUUUAUUUUUUUUUAUUUUUUAUUUUUUUUUAUUAUUAGUUGUUCAAAACAUUACAAAGCUCUUGACAUAUCAUAUUUCAUAAAAUUGAUUCAACCAGAUUAUGAACUCCCAUUUUUACCCCGUAUACAUAUUGCAGAUUCACAUCUGUUCCACAUCCACUUUUUUACAUACUGCCAUACUUGUGUCUGUUGUAUUCU
Molecule: long non-coding RNA, 4627 nt
Organism: Marmota monax (woodchuck)
Lineage: Eukaryota; Metazoa; Chordata; Mammalia; Rodentia; Sciuridae
Exons: 6
Source: RefSeq, a predicted model, not a curated record